AUCAUUGAGCCUGGGAAGGAAGUAGAAAUGGAAAUGGAUGAAGAGGAGGUGCAGCUUGUUGAGGAGGGCAUGAGGGCAGCUAGUCUUGAAGAGAACGGGGACCUGAAGAAUAAUGAAGCUAAGGUUACAAUAGAUGAAGCAGAACCACCUAUGAGGAUAGUAAAGAAUUGGAAGAGACCUGAGGAGAGGUUACCUGCUGAAAGAGAUCCAACUAAAUUUGUUGUGUCUCCAAUAACUGGUGAGCUGAUUCCUGACAAUGAGAUGUCUGAACAUAUCAGGAUCUCUUUAAUUGAUCCAAAGUACAAGGAGUAGAAGGAGAGGAUGUUUGCAAAAAUUAGGGAUACAACUCUUGCUCCUGAUGAUGAGAUCACAAAAAAUAUUGUUGGACUUGCUCGAACCCGUCCUGAUAUUUUUGGUACUACUGAGGAGGAAGUCUCUAAUGCUGUUAAGGUAGAGAUCGAGAAGAAAAAAGAUGAUCAACCAAAGCAAGUCAUUUGGGAUGGGCAUACAGGAAGUAUUGGUCGUACAGCAAGUCAGGCCAUGUCUCAGAAUGCUGGUGGAGAAGAUCUAAAUGAAGCAGCCAACAGUGAUAUGAGAAAUCUUCCAGGUCCUGCAGCUCCUCCUCCUCCCAGACCUGGCAUGCCAUCAAUUAGACCUCUUCCUCCACCUCCUGGACUUGCCUUGAAUAUCCCUAGGCCUCCUAAUACUGUUCAGUAUUCAACCCCAACUGGUCCCGGUGUUUUGGCUCCACCUCCACCUGGGCCUCCAGUCGUCGGUGUUCUGCCCAGACCUGCGCCUCAUCCGAUGUCAAUGAUGCCGGGCCAGCAACCUCUGAUGGUAAAUCGACCCCAAAUGCAUCCGUCCAUGUCCAUGAAUUCCCCCAACAUGCCUGUGCCACCGCCACCUGGAUCUCAAUUUACACCUUUGUCUGCUCCCCGGCCUUUUGUUCCCCUUUCCAUAUCUCAGCCUGGCCUGCCUAUGGUCCCACCGCCAUCCAUGCCUCAGGGAAUGCCACCACCUCCACCUGAGGAAGCUCCUCCACCACUUCCUGAAGAACCAGAACCAAAAAGACAGAAACUUGAUGAUGCUCUGCUUGUUCCCGAGGAUCAAUUUUUAGCUCAACAUUCGGUAUGAUGCACUUUUGCAUUCAUUUAUAUUUGUGAUUUUUUUAAAAAAAAAUUUUCCUUUUGUGAAAAAAGAGAAGGUUUUACGUCAUUGGGUUGUAACUAAGCUUGCAUUUGUGUUCACUGCAGGGACCUGCUCGUAUCAACGUGUCUGUGCCUAAUCAUGAUGAAGGCAAUAUGAAAGGGCAGGUGCUGGAGAUUCUUGUGCAGUCGCUGUCUGAAACUGUCAGCAGCUUGAAAGAGAAAAUAGCUGGUGAGAUUCAACUUCCGGCUAACAAACAGUAACUGAGUGGAAGGCCUGGUUUUCUCAAGGACAAUUUGUCGCUCGCAUAUUAUAACGUUGCACCCGGAGAAACACUUCAACUCUCUCUCAGAGAGCGUGGAGGAAGAAAGAGAUGAGAAGCUUAACAUUGACCAAAGCCUUGAAACACUUUAUUUUCCUAUUUGGAUCUGUUACUUCUCCUAAGAAGUAUUGUCCUUAUCAGUCUCACCAAAAUUAUUUUUUGUGAUUGUUUUAGAACAAAAUGGCAUUUUCAAAGGUAAAUGAUUAUUCAUUUGACAGUUUGGCUCUUGAGAUUAAAAGAUGAUAGGUCUGGUCUUAAAAUUAAUUUAUUUACAAUCAUGCAAAACUCUCGUUUUCUUCAGACUUCAGUAGAAUGGAUUGGACCAUUGGAGUUUCGGCGUAUCACUUUUUGGGCUCUAAAGAGGGCCAAAGGCCCCCGUGUUUGAGUUAUGUGAAACUCUUGUAUUCAUUCAUCAUGUUUUAGAUAUUAUUGUAAAUUUUUAGGCUUUAGCCUUGUAAUUUGCACAGUAUUGAAAUUAAAAAAAAAUUAGGGUUUUAGCUUAGUGGUUUCUACAGUAGUAUAAACAGAUUAGGAGUAGUUUGCACUUUUGUAGUUUGCACAGAAUUAUUAGCUUUUAGUUUAGUAGUUAGCUAAGAAGAGAAAAGAAGAUGAGCUUUUAAUAUUGUUCGGGAAUUUAAAAAAGAAGUGAAAGGAUUUUGGAUACAAGGGAUGAGUAAAUCCUAUACAACCACUCUUUUUGAAGACAAACUAGACCUUUUAAUUUUGAGAACUUUUAUAACCAGACAGCAAGUUUCCUCUCACUCAAUUAUCCAACUUGGAAGGAAAGAAUUUUUAUGGUUUAUCUCAAAAAUUUUUGGGGAAUUUACGAAAGAAUGUUGUUGAAGUAGGGGAACUUUCCAUUGAUUGAGAAUAAUGCAAGAUCAAUUGUUUUUUUUCAAGAUUCAACUUUCGUCAAGGAAGAUCAAUUUGGGAUGGACAGUGAGCUUAAAUAAGAUGAGCCCAUAAAUUAUUUUGCUUUUAGAGAAACUGAAAUAUAUGAACCUGGCAAAAAAGAGUCCCUAAUGUACUAAAGAUUGACCAAACUCUUCACAGAUAAUCCCACUAAUUAUCCUUUGGAAUAAUUUUAGGAACCUCCCUUGAGGUUUCUAACUACUUCACUGCCCCCUUUUAGAUUUCAAAAAUUAUACUAACCUUUUUUUAAAUUUAUUAUCUUAUAACAUUUAGGUUCAACCAGCAAUUAAAAGGUGAUAUCAGGAGAGAGAAUAUAACAUGAUUCCACCAUUGCCUAGAUUAUUUAGUUAAUCUAAUAUCAUCUCACACAUUAAAGAAAAGCACUAGAAUCUGUUGUUUAUCAUCUGGGAUCAAAUCACAUAUAGUAUCAAAAAAUAAUAUAUCAUUGUAUAUAUUUCACUUAAUUUAAAAUUCAAAUUACUUUUUCAGUUAUAGACCAAUUGUUAUACAUGAUCAACAACAAAUAAUCAAAAAAAAAAAAUUACAACCAAAAAUUACAAAGAGCGAACUUUAAUACCAUAAAAAUCUCGACAACUAACCUUAAUAUGUUGAUAAAGAUAUUUAUGAUAUUAAGGUUUGCUCUUUGUAAUGUUUCAUUUGCAAUUUUUUUUAUUAUUUGUUAUCGAUUAUGUUUGACAAUAGGUAUGUAACUGAAAAGAAUAAUUAGGAUCUUGCAUUAUUUUUUUUAUUUUUUGCUAAACAACUCAUAAUAUGUAAAAAAAAUUUAAGUAAGCUAAAAAUAACAAAAUCAUCAUUUUAUCAUACAAAUUAUGUUAUUUAUAUUUUCAAAUUUUAAUGUAUAUGCAUAUAUUAUUGAUAUGUAGUCAUAACAGAUAUACCAAAUAUAAUCUUAUAACCAUCAUAUUUAUUUUAAAUUUUUUAAUAAAUAACUUACAAUAUGUAAAAAAUUCAAAUGAACUAUAAAUAACCAAGUCAUCAUUUUAUCAUACAAAUUAUGAUAUUUUUAGUUCUUAAAUUAUAAGAUAUAUGCAUAUAUUAUUAAUGUGCAGUUAUAUAUAUAUGCAUACAUAUAUAUAUAUAUGUAUGUAUGUAUAUAUAUUUUAUACGAGAAUAUCCUUCCCCGUCCCUUGCCCUAUUUAAAAUUGGGGAAGAAAAAUCCCCCCUCUUCCACCCCGCCUCGCCCUGCCCCGUUGCUCUCCCCGAGGCAAAUGUUUGCCAUGCCUAACUUUUUUUUUUGUCUAAACGAUAGGAUUGUAAUGAUUGGACAAAAGUAUAUACAGGUGAGCACAUGCUCGAUGCUUUACAAUGUGCAUUUAGCACAAUAGAUUAGGAUUAACCCACUCUACAUCAUGAUAAUUGCUUAAAACUUGAGCACUAAAUAAACAGCUAAGAUAAUUCCUAUUAGUUUUUCCUAGACAAAAUGAGCAUUUGUAAAACAUAGUACUCAAUUCACUGAUGUCAUUUAUCAGGGCAGCUAGCCAUAUAUCGACUGUUUUACCCCCUUGAAUUUGUUGUAGUAGGUCUUUAUUUGGAACUCCAAUGCAUACAAACCUCCAUCUUUGCUCUGCUGCUUUGAUUAGUGCCAGUUUGACACCUUUAGCACAAUAUUGAAAUUGACUCUCACUUGCUAUUUCUCUCAUCUUCUAUCCCAUCACAUCCUACCCCUUACUAUCCAGCAACGGAGCUAGGAUUUUUUCCUUAGAGGGGCCAAAAUUUUUUCGAACAAAAUUACCUUAAUAUGUUAUGUUCAAAAUAAUUUUCAUUUAUUUAAUUAUAUGACAUCUUAAAAUAUCAAAUAUUAACUUUAAUUAUAAAGAUAUGUCUAUUUCAUAAAUAUAUAACAUAAUCAUAACUAAAAUUAAGAUAAGAAAUAACCUUUGAUUAAAUAUCUUAUAACAUCACAAACCACCUAAGUUGCACAUUAUGAGAAGAUGUUCCAAUAUGUCACUUGUGCAGAAACAAAAAUAUAACUAUGCAAUAUAAAUAUAACUAUUUUCAAUUAAAAAAAGAUAAAAUUUAUGUUAACAUACCUUGAAAUUUCAUCCUCUUUUAUUAAAAGUAAAUUGAGCUUUACGUUCUUUCAUAGAACUAAAUUCAUCUAUAAUUGAAUCAAUACUAAAUUUUCGAACAACUUCCUUUUUUUUUUACAUUGUUAGGCAAUCAUUUAAGAAAUUAUCUUUUAUCUUGUUUUGGAGCUUUGUUUUGAUUAUCUUUAUAAUUGAAAAUGUUCAUUCUAUAGACUAUAGAACGGAGCCGAGAUUUUUCCUUGGGAGAGAGGCCAAAAUUUUUCUGAACAAAAUUAUUUUAAUAUGUUAUGUUCAAAAUAAUUUUCAUCUAUUUAAAUAUAUGAUAUCUUAAAAUAUCAAAUAUUAACUUUAAUGAUAAAGGUAUGUCUAUUUCAUAAAUAUGCAGCAUACUCAUAAUAAAAAUUAGGACAAGAAAUAACCUUUGAUUAAAUAUCUUAUAACAUCACAAACUACCCAAAUUGUACAUUAUGAGAAGAUGCUCCAAUAUGUCACUUGUGCAAAAACAAAAAUAUAACUAUGCAAUAUAAAUAUAACUAUUUUCAAUUAAUAAAAGAUAAAAGUUAUGUUAACAUAUCUUGAAAUUUCAACCUCUUUUCUUAAAAGUAAAUUGAGCUUUAUGUUCUUUCAUAGAACUAAAUUCAUCUAUAAUUGAAUCAGCGCUAAAUUUUUGAACAACUUCCUUUUUUUAUGUACAUUGUUAGACAAUCAUUCAAGAAAUUAUCUUUUAUCUUGUUUUGGAGCUUUGUUUUGAUUAUAUUCAUAAUUGAAAAUACCCGUUCUAUAGUUGCAGUUGACACAGGAAAAGUGAGAACAAAUAUAAUUAAUCUGUCAACAACAGGAUAGAUCACUCCAUUUCUUGUCUUCACCAAGCCUUCAAGUAAUUAUUUGUAUAUUUGUAUAUGGGUCAACAAGAGGAUAGAUCACUAAUUUUAAAUUUUUUAUCAAUUAGACUAACUUGUAUAUUUGUAUAUGGACCAAUAAAGUAAUUAUUUUUGUCUUAGCCCAUUGAUAAUUAUGAAUUGAGUCUUUUAUUUGUAUAUUUGUAUAUGGACCAAUAAAGUAAUUAAUUUUGUUUUAGCCCAUUGAUAAUUAUCAAGUGAGUCUUUUAUUAUAAUAUAUCAAAUUGGGUCAAUUUACUAUGGAUCAUCAAAUUAUAUGUUUAAUUUUUUGAACGUUAAAUAAUUAGCACAAUAAAAAAUAAAUAACUUUUUUUGAAGAAAAAAUUAAAUCAAAGGUGACUAAUUCAUACACACACAAAUAUAUAUAUAUAUAUAAACUCUCAUAAUAUAAACUAAAAUUGUAAAAAAUUAGGGGGCCAACUUUGUCUUAUACAUAUAUUUACAUUUAGAAAAUGCAAUUCUCAUCUUGUAGGCAUCAACUGAUAAUAAUAAUAAUAAUAAGAACAGUUUGUUCAAGUAAUUACUUGACCGACCAUGAUCAAAUUUAAAAAUUUAUGCAAAUCUAUGGACUUUUAGAUGUGCAUGUAUAUUUGACAAUUGGAUGUGUACCUUGUGUGGUCCAUGCAAUUUUUUUGCUCAAUUGUAAUUUUCUUAACUCAUGUAAUGUAACUACCUAAUUAGCAAUAAUGAAUCUUAGAAACUCACCUAUCUACUCACUUAUAUACAAAAUGUAAACCAUGCAAGAUCACCCCACAAGUUGAAGCUUGCACCAAUUUAAUAAGAGUAAAUCUUUCCUAUGCUGACGAUGUAUACACUAUCAUCGUUGAAUUCAUGACAUAUGUGCAAAAGUUGAAUUUCAAAUUCAAAUUUUGCAUAGUUUCCAUUUAUCCAACGCUGAUAGUGUAUACAGUAUCAGUGUAGGAAAAAUUAAUCCAUUUAAUAAUUGAUGACAGGUUUGGGAUUUCUUGUUAAAAAGUGAAUUGAGACUUGUUCAUAUAUCAUAUAUAUAUAUAUAUAUAUAUAUAUAUAUAUAUAUAUAUAUGAAUAGAUGAAUCAGAGGGUUUUCUUCCUAAAUUUGAUAAGUUAUUAUCUUACAAUAUGUUGUUAGAGAGUUGCUGUAAUCAACCACACUACAGUUAGUCAAUUAUAACUUCAAUCUUUAUCUUACAAAUUAAGCAAAGGCUUGGAGAAGAUAAAAAAUUGAAAAUGACAUCGGUAUUCCUCAAACGUGAUAAAGAACUCUAUAUUUCUGGUUUUACUGGCGAAGUCCAAUUGGAAUAUCAUAUAUUGCAGUGCCAAUUGUCCUCUUUUUUUUUUUUUUUUUUGAAUUCCAUGCUAAGAAAAAUGGGACUGCUGGACAUAUACUAUGAUUUACCAUUCUGUGUUGGAUUUUGCACUUCAAUAAAAAAAGAUCUAAUUGAAUACCUUAAAAUAAGCUGUCUACAAAUCAAUUGGAAAAAACAGAAAGAAGAGAGAAUCAACAGAUGGUGGUCUAGGGAUAUACUAAUAGCUAUGCAAUGAUGAAUCCCUUUUGAGGAUAUUAUCAUAAAAUGCCUCAAAAAUCAAAAUAAGGAGUUAAAAAAUCUUGAUCAUUGAGAGGCAUAGAUGUACUUGUUUCAGGUAGAUGGCAAUCUGUGAAUUCCAGUUGGAUUAUGAAGAUUUUGGGUGAUGUAUUGCAAAUUAAAUUUUCUAUUUCCUCUUAAACUUGGGUGCCAUGAUUCUGCGUCUUUUGGACAAUCCACCUUAGCAUAUACAGAUGGAAGGCAAAGAUAAGGCUUCUUUUAUGCAUUAAAGGGGUAAAAAAGCAGAUGCAAACACAACUUAGCGAAUAUGAUAGCCUUAUAGUUUGUUUGGAUUACUAUAGUUUUUGUAGAAAAUGUAUUAUAACGAUAUGAUAUAUGUGAAGUAAAAAAAAAGUGAUUGAGAAAUGUGUUUAUAAAAAACGUAAAAUUUUUCUCUUAUAGCUUCCUCGAAACUGGUCAUCAAGUUAAUAGUUCCAUUAAGUGGCUAGGGUAUUAUAAAUCCAUCAAAGUACAUGAAAAGAAAAUGAAAUCAAUGCAAUAAAACUAAUACUUCUCCUAAACUCUAUCAAACAAAAGUUUUGAAAAUAGAGAAGCAUUUUACUUAUGGUAUGAAAUAUAGGCCACGUUAAUUUUGUGCACUACAGAAUAAAAAUGGAGGAACAAAGAUGGAAAUUUGUUAAUUGUGAAUGUUUAAUCGAUGAUCCUCAAUAUUAAGAAAAAAUUCGAGAGUUACUAAAUAUGGGGACUAUCGAAAUGCUACACAUACAAGUUAAUGCAAAAUAUAUGGCAUGAUAAAACAUUAUUAUUUAUUAUUCUUCAACCCUUGGAUGAGUUUAUUCCAUGGCCUUGUUCAUUCUCCGAGAAUCUAUACUUUGCUUUUUAUUCUUUUUUUUUAAUUUUUUUUUCCUGUAGGGGAGGUGUGAGACUUCAGAAGCAAAGAAGGAACAUAAAAAUUUUGAAUCUAGAAUCUCUGAUUUCACUGAAUCAAAACCUUAUUGGCCUCCAAAAAUCUAUACUUUAUAGAAUAAGAUGUGGUAUAUGUUUAUUAAGUUAUUAAGAAAGGUUGAUCAAGACCAUCAGGUGAUUGCCUUUUGUUACUAGAUCUUCUGCGCUGCAUCAAGAUUAUCUAUUUUUAACAUUUGAAAGGCUUCAAACUCAUUCCAAGUAUAAUACUAAUCGGGCUACAACAUUUCGCUUCAAGAAAACUUCAUCCUAUAGAAGGAAUUUUUGUAAAAGCAUUAUUAGGGCUAAAUUAAUGACAUUAUAUGUCAUGAAACUAGGUCUGUCUGUGACAGCCCCACCUUCCCCUAAGGCGAACCAAAUGGGUUGGCGGACUGCCUGCCCAGCUCUCGCCAGGACUAACGGUUCAGAUUAGCGCGAUCUAAUACUUUUCGGGUCAUACAACCGCGUGUGAACAAGUCGAACCCACAAAAACAAAAAAAAAAAAAACAAAGUCGGAGUCGGCCAGGAAGAGGAACCGACACGUCAAACCCAACCAAACGUCAAGCAAAUAUUUACAUCUCACAAGUUCGCAUAUACAACCCAAAAGGGGCAUACCAAAAUGAUUCAAAAGUGGAUACAUGUACGGUUUUCCAAAUCCAAAAGAGAAACGGACCCAAACUAUAUUUAGGGUUUAAAUCAACGAGCUAUACAAAAGAUAUGUCCAACUAGCUCAAGUCGGCAACCGAUUAUCAAAUCCAGUCCAAAAGUAUUUAUUUUUCCUGUAAGGAAAACAAAAGGAACAGAACGGGGUGAGCUUGCGCUCAAUGAGGUACCAAACAGAUAGCAAUAAAAUCAUGGCAUUUCACAUUUAACCAAUCAGAUACACAUGUCAGAUGUAAAGCAAAGGAACUAAUGAUUCAAAUUAGAAGGAUACGGGUGGCUCUCAGGAGCCAAAUUUCCAGCGCAGUACUUGAUCCAAACCGGUUGACUCUCCGUCAACGCAUAUAGAACCAACGCGUCCGUAGACCCCUCUUUACACCGAAUUCCGUCCACCAAACACUCCUUUACCGGGCCCGCUCACCGUAACCGAACAGAAAUGGUAAUACUCGAGUAUACCCGGAAUCAAGGGUCUCAAUACCCAAAAUCCCCGAACAGACUACCGUGGUUCGUUAUCUAAUCGUCCAGGCCCUUGCCGGCCCGAGUCGAAUAACUUAGCCACAGGAUUGAGCUCAUAGGUCAUUGAAAUCCGAAUAGAUGCAGACACAGAUAACAGAUACAGAUACAGGAUAGCAGAUUCAGAUAGCAGAUUCAGACGGCAGAUUUAGAUAGGCACUCAAAAUUGGCAUAUGAGCAGAUAGAAAAACGAGUGUGAUAAAGUACACCCUCGCCUCCAUUUUAUCAAAACAGUAUUUGGCUUCAAUAGUCAUAAAUCAAGUAUUCAGAUAUUCAGAUAUUUCACAUAAUGGGUAGCAGGUAGUGGAACACUCACCGGCUCAACUUCAAAAGUUUUCACUUCAGAUUGGCCUUAAUCGCCAAGAAACUCUAAAAUAAUCAAAAUAAACCAAUUGAAGGUUUUACUUCCAGAAUCGAGUAAACAGAAUGCACAUGUGAGGCUCGACUACACGUCGUACGCCUUGCCAAAUAAAUACUAAUGCAAGAAGGCAAAAAUAUGAUUCCCUUGGAAACGAAAAGGUAGCAUGAAGACCUAGGCGCAAACAACCCAAAAGCCUUUCAUUCUACCAAAAGGCAAAUCCAACUUAAAGGAACCAAACGGCCUAGAAAAUCGGGCAGCACUUCCCCUAAAUUUCUUACUUUUCCAGCCAUUAAGGCUUCAUUAUAUCCUCAAAUCAGUCCCAACAUCUCACACAAAAUUCAUCUCAUUUCCCAAAAGCUGUUCGCUAGGCUCAAAGUGGUACAAGUACAAAAGUUAGCUAGGAAACAACCGAAAUGAAAGCAAGCCCUAAAAGAGACUCGAUAACGAGUCAUAUAGCCAUACCAAUUAUAACCCUAAUAGGGUUUCAUAUGCAUGAAUAAGCAUCAUAGGUAACCAGAAAUUAAGAAAUGGCUUUAACUUAGGCAUUAACACAAAAACGUAUUUAACCUCAUAAUGCGGUAAUGACACCACUUUCACUACAGUUAUCGGAUGGGGGUACAAGACCCACCGUUUCGAAGCUAUGAAACAGGGAUACAACAAUGUAGAAGGCCACUUAGUCCAAAUCCUAGCACAACUAGGUCGAAAAUGCAGAAUUCCACAACCUGAACCGUAAUUGCAGGUUUACAAAUCACACAAAACUGUAAUCAGUACAACUCGGUCUAUACAGGUCCAAAUACAUUGAUUCCAAAGGCAUAUGGUAGCUAAGACACUCAGCUACAUUUCAUCAAAAGAUACCAACAACAAAAUCCAAACCAAUUCCAGUCAAAAUAACCCAUUUCAGACGCAGUUCGCGCAUUCUGAUCACCCAGAACAGCAACAGUAAAAAUGACAUAACUCACUCUACACUACUCCAAAUGACCUAAAAUUUUACAGGCACCUCCAACACAUCAAUACCUACACCUUUCAUGUUUUAAGCAAAGGCCAAUUCGGCCUCUAAGUAGGAGAUACAAAACCGGACAGAAAAGGGGGUGGUGAAACCCUAAGUUGCUGAAAUUUCCUCCAAAUCCAAAAUUGCUUGCAAUUAUCACUCAUUUGCACCUACUAGAGUCAUUACCCCUUAUUUCCAAUCAUCAUAAGUCAUCACACCAUCAUGAUCAUAUGAAAACAGCAAUAAUCCCAAAAAAUUGAAAACUCCAUCAAUUUCUCCAAGAACAAGAAAUAAAUCACAAAUCUCAACACUUUAGCCACUACUAAGCAUAACUUAAGCUUCAUGAAGUAUAUGAGGAAGUUGAACCACUAAUUACCUAGUAUGCAAGAGAGGGAGAGUUGUAGGACACCUUAGCUUCUCCAAAAAAUCUCACCAAAUCACUUACUAGCACCAACUAGAGGGAAUUUAUGGAGUAGAAACUAGUUUAAGUAAUUUUCUUGGAAGAUUUGAGCUAUAUGGAGGCUAGAAUUUGGAAGAGUUUUCCUUCUUUUGAGCUUCAAGGUGGCCGGCCAAGAGGGAAGGGAGAAGAGUGAAUUUUUUUGUAAUUUUUUAGAUAUUUAACUCAAGUGGUAAAAGUCAAAAAAAUGAAUAGUGUCUCAACAAAGUCCACCAAUCAUCUUGUGACACUUGUCACUACCAUUAAUGCAUUCCUAUCCCUUCUUUAUCCUCUCACAUCAAUCAAAUCUCACUCUCUACUUAUCUCUUAACACCCGAUAAAUUUUACACAGUAUCCGAAACUUAACCUUAGUGGCCGAAUUUUUCCGAACUUUUCGCACUAGCGGGUCCCACGUCCGAUAUACGUUCUUAAUUUCUCAAAAUCUAUUCGAUACUAGAAAAAUCAUUUAAAAACUAUAUUUACUCGUAAAAAUAAUCUAGAAAAUUUUCCGGAUACAGAAAGUGUAGAAAACAAGCCAUUGAAAAUAAGAAAACCUAGAAAGAUUAUAAUACCUAACAAAUGGAAAAGUUACGGGUUCUCACACUGUCAAUCGGGGCUAAUGAGUCGGGCUUUCAUAAGAUCAAAUUCAACUCAUUUAAUUUAAAACAUUUUCGGGUUUCGGACUAUGAGUUUCGGGGUCAUAAAUGUGAAACUCAUACUCAACUCACAAAAUAUUUGGGUUGUGAGCCUUAAUCGGGUUUAACCCAAACUCACUUAUUACUCCUUAAUUUUCUUAAUAUAAUUACUAUAACUAUUAAGUUGUAAAACUAAUUUAACAUUUACAAGACUACAACAUUAAAACUAAACAUGAACAAGUAAUAGUUUUUAAAAAGUAUAUAAACCAAAAAUUUUUCAACAAUAUUUAUAUUUAAUUCGUUCAAAAUGCAUGAAAAGUAGUAAUAAAAUAUGCGAUCAUAAACCAAUACAUCUUUAAAAGUUGAAACUUUUUUUAUAAUCUUGUGAUUUAAAUCCAAAUAUGCUUGAUGAUUUAUGUUUGUAGACCAAAACGAAAUCAACCAAUAUUAUGCCAACACAAAAAUUUACUCAACCAAUAAGAAAAGUUAGAGAUUUAGUUAUGCAUUACUAAUAUUGGCUCUCAAGAAAGCUCAUGGAAGAGUCUUUAGAUGUAUUUUAGCGUUUUGUAAUUUAUAUAUAUUUAGUAUUUAGUAAUAAUAUAUUUGGAUAUAUAAUUAUACAUAAUAUCAAUAUAUAAAUAUUAUAUAUAGAGGUAAUUAAAGGGUCAGGCCUAUAUCGGGUUUGAGCCUAAUAAGACUCAAGCUCGGCUCAUAUUCAAUUCGGGCCUAAUUUUUAAACUCAAACUCAGACCGGCUCACUAAAUGGUCAAGCUCAUCCGGUUUUUUAUCGGGUCGAACGAGCCGAGCUCGGGUUGGCUCAACCCCAUUGACAAUCCUACAUGAAAAGCGCAAUACAACAGAAGCAUGGAAAGUGACAACUGAUAAAUGAACUUUUUGCUAAAUGUGGAGCUCAGGACGUAGUAUUUGAAGUAAGAUUCUCAAAACAAGUGCAAAAGAAAUUUAUUGGUUAGCGAAAAAUGUUAUGGAGUAUGAGAUAUAGUUGAAAAUGGUACAAGAAGAUUCCUAAGCUGAAAAGUAUAAGGAAAAAUCCACUUUAUAUAAAGAAACAACGUAAAAUAAAAGCAAGUGGAUAAAGUUAUGAAAUUCCCUCCUGGGUUCAUUUCUUUUUAAUCUGGGCAAUAAACUUUAAUGGGUUGAAAAAAUAUAACAUAUAUUAACGAGAAAAGGCAAGCAAUUAAGAGCAAAUAAGGGUAAGUGAUGCAUGGCAUAUUAAUUUCGCCCAAAUCGUUUUCAAGAGUUAGUAAAAGUAAACUUGUUGAAAUUCAAACCCAUAUGGCAAGGCAAGACGACUGAGGCAAAGAAUAGUUGAAGGGUCUGAAGACUGAUUCCUUGUUGAUGUAAACUAAUAAUAAUUAGUUGUAUAAUAUUCAAUACUGAAUAAAGAUUUUUUUUUGGAAUAUUAAUUAAAAGAUCACAUCAACAUUCGGAAAACUUUGCUUGCUGUCACAUAUUCAGUGUACUUCAAGUAAAGUUCAUGUGAUUCUCACCAUUAUAUUGCCCCAAAAAAAGGGCUAAUAGAGAAAGCAAUUUCUUUACCAGAUAUUGAGUGAUCAAGUUUUCAGAUGCUUUCAUUAGUCAAUUUGUUAGUACAUCUAUACUUUUUUUUUUCAUGGUAAUCGUUUAAGGUUAAAAAAAAAAGAAAAAGAAAGUUACGUCCAUGUAGAAAUUAAUAUUUAGUAUGUUGCCCCUUGGACUUAUGAGAAAGGUUGAAAAAACCACCAAUGGUAUUUUCCAAAAAAAAAAAAAAACACCGUUACAACCUAAAAUUUCAUGAAGAUCUUUACUUAAGUUAGAACUUAAUUCCCCACCAAAAAAAAAAAUUGUCUGAAAUUAAAAGUUACCUCUCUUUUAGUUUGUAUGGAUCGAUACACGUAUUCGUCCUCAGUGGAUAGAAUCCUUCAUUGACCUCCACUUUUUUUGGCCAGACCUUCUUGUACUGCAUUUAGCUACUAGCGUAUUGACCCCGAACUGGAAGUCACAUAAAAUUGUGGUGGAAGUUCUGACUUAGCCAGACUAAACAAUAAAGAAAUAGAAAUUUGAAAAAAAAAUUUGAAAACAUGGAUUAAGCAUAUAAAGUUGACCUUGACCUUCUGAGUUGCCUCAAUUAAAUAAAAUGCUUAGUCAGCAAACAAGUAAAUAUUUUGCCAAAUGGUGUAGUUUACCUAUAAAGAUUCUCUAGGAAAGAGUAUUGCAAUUCUUUAAGGUUUAAUUAGAUCAAACCCCUAAGCUGUGUUUCCCAAUGUCUUACAAUCAACUCAUAAAUUUCAAUUAAUCUAUAAAUGAAUCUUCAAUACACUGAUAAUGUAUGAUCCGUCAGCACUGAAUGCAUGACAAUUCAUCUAAAUUUAAAUUUAAAAUAAAAAAUCAGCUAAUGUAUCGUGCAUCUAACCGUGAUAUAUGAUUAACUCUUUAUUUAUUGAAUCUAAGUUUGAGCGCAAAAUGCACAUGUUGAAGCCAAAAGAACAACUAUAGUUUGUUUGAAAAAGAAUUGGCCUAAGUCAAAAUUUUUGUCCGUCUCCAAGGCAUUGUUUGUUUUGAGAGAAUGGGAGGGAAAGGAAAUGGAGAGAGAAGAUUUUUGAUAUUUGGAUUAAUUUUUGAGAAGGGAAAGAAAAGGAUUGAGAGGGAAAGGGAGUUAUAAAGUUUAGUUAAAAAGAUGAAUAGACUCAAGUUUUCUCUAUUCUCCUUUCUUUCUUUCUUUUUUUUCCUAUUAAAACCCUCUCCUUUCCUUUCCUUUCCUUCAAUCCAAAUGGUGCCUAAGACUAAUCAAAUGUACAAUGAAUGUAGGUAGGCAUGGCCACGGUUCCAGAACCGCCGGUUCUAGUUCUUCAAAGAGGUAGAACCAGAACCGCACCAUCUAAGAUGGUUCUGGUUCUGGUUCUUCAAAGAGAUAGAAUCAGAACCGCACCAUCUGGUUCCGGUUCCGGUUCCAGUUCUGGUUCCUUAUAGUUCUAAUUUCGAUUCCUUACGGUCCUGGUUCUGAUUCCGUAUAGUUGUAUACAAUUUUAUUUAAUUUUUUAUCCUUACCAAUUUUAAUACGAAUAUAACAAUAUAUUUAAAAUUUUAAAUAGAAUGUAAAAAAUAAAUACAAAAUAAAGAUCAUAUUUUAAUUUUAUUAUUAUUCAACAAAGUAUGAAGUAAUAUAUAGAUAAUACAAAUUUUAUGAAAAAUACGUUAUAUUGUCAAAUUAAAAAAUACAUUACACUAUCAAAUGGUAAUAAUUUUAAAUGGAAAAGAAAAUACUUGAUUUUUCAUUGAAAUUUAGAUGAAAUAUCAAAACAAACAUUAAUUAUUUAAUCAUCUUCAUUGCUUGCGAUGGCACUAGAAUCAGUUGUAUAAUUGAAUUUUUCUUCUUCAUCUUUUUCCAUUUCUUGUUGUCUAUAUUCUGCUCUAGUUCAAUCAUCCACGCAUGCUUGAAUUUCUAGUGAUUCUGGGCUUAAUAGGCCUUUAUUGAACCGGUAAUUCUAUUUUUAUUUCAUUAUUUAUAUUAAUUAUUUUUAAUUUUUUUAACGGUUCUGGAACCGGCGGUUCUGGUUCUGGUUCUAUUUUUUAGAGAACCAGAACCGGAACCUUUAUCCAGGGUUCUACCACGGUUUUGGUUCCGGUUCCGGUUCCGGUCCGGUUCGAAACGGUCCGGUUCCGAUCCGGUUCUCAGUUCCAAAUGGAACCAUGACCAUGCCUAAAUGUAGGUGUGCAACUUUAAUGUUUGAGAAAAGAAGCUCCCAACAUUGGUUAAAUAAGGCAGUCUACGUAUAGUCUAUAUAUCACAUGAAAAUUCGAUAUUUUUGGUUUGGGCUUCUUAGGUUGAUUAAGUAUUGAAAGGCUAUUGGCAAAAUAAAUCCAAUUAGAUCGAUAAUGAAGGGGCAAAGUGGAUUUAUGUAUUUCUAAAGGAUAUUCGAAUUAAUACUUCUUGGAAUUCAGUUUACUGUUCGAGGUGGUAAUAUCAAUUUAUUAACAUGGUUGUUGGACUCUAAAUUUUCUUUUCUUUAUUUUUUUUCUUCAAGUUUUCAGUAUAGUGGUUGAUCAACCACUGAUGAAACCUUACAUACCCCUUCUCUUUUGUUCUGCAUUCCGGACUGGAAUUCUCGAAGUAAAACUUUGCAAUCUCCAUUGAACUUUUAUGGUUCGAGAAAAUUUUGGAAAUAUAAGCAGCUGUUAUUACUUUUCCUUCUUUAACCAAAAGCAAAAUGACAUUUUCAAAGGUAAAAGAUUAUUCAUUUGACAGUUAGGUAACUUUUCUGGUCUGAAAAUUAUUUAUUUACAAUCAUGCUAAACUCUUGUUUUCUUCAGACUUCAGUGGAAUGGAUUGGACCAUUGGAGUUUCGGUUUAUCACUUUUUGGGCUCUAAGGAGGGCCAAGGGCCCGUGUUUGAGUAAUGACGGUAUUCAUUCAUCAUGUUUUAGAUAUUAUUGUAAAUUUCUAGGCUUUAGCCUUGUAAUUUGCAGAGAAUUGAAAUUAAAAAAAAAUUAGGGUUUUAGCUUAGUAAUUUCUACAGUAGUAUAAACAGAUUAGGAGUAGUUUGCACAGAAGUUUAGUUUAGUAGUUAGCUAAGAAGAGAAAAGAAGAUGAGCUUUUAAUAUUGUUCGGGAAUUUAAGAAAGAAGUGAAAGGAUUUGGAUAUAAGGGAUGAGUAAAUCCUAUACAACCACUCUUUUUGAAGACAAACUAGACCUUUUAAUUUUGAGAACUUUUAUAACCACACAGCAAGUUUCCUCUCACUCAAUUAUCCAACUUGGAAGGAAAGAUUUUUUAUGGUGUAUCUCAAAAUUUUUUGGGGAAUUUACAAAAGAAUGUUGUUGAAGUAGGGGAACUUUCCAUAAUUCCAUUGGUUGAGAAUAAUGCAAGAUCAAUUGAAUUCUUUCAAGAUCCAACUUUCAUCAAGGAAGAUCAAUUUGGGAUGGACGGUGAGCUUAAAUAAGAUGAGCCCAUAAAUUAUUUUGCUUUUGGAGAAACUGAAAUAUAUGAACCAGGCAAAAAAGAGUCUCUAAUGUACCAAAGAUUGACCAAACUCUUCACAAAUAAUCCCACUAAUUAUCCUUUGGAAUAAUUUUAGAAACCUCCCUUGAGGUUUCUAACUAUUUCACUGGCCACCUUUUAGACUUCAAAAAUUAUACUAACCUUUUUUAAAUUUAUUAUCUUAUAACAUUUAGGUUCAACUAGCAAUUAAAAGGUGAUAUUAGGAGAGAGAAUAUAACAUGAUUUCACCAUUGCCUAGAUUAUUCAGUUAAUCUAAUAUCAUCUCACACAUUAAAGAAAAACACUAGAAUCCGCUGUUUAUCAUCUAGGAUCAAAUAACAUAUAGUAUCAAAAAAUAAUAUAUCAUUGUAUAUAUUUCACUUAAUUUAAAAUUCAAAUUACUUUUUCAGUUAUAUACCAAUUGUUAUACAUGAUCAACAACAAAUAAUUAAAAAAAAUUGCAACCAAAAAUUACAAAAAGCGAACUUUAAUACCAUAAAAAUCUCGACAACUAACCUUAAUAUGUUGAUAAGGAUAUUUAUGAUACUCCCUCCGUCCCGUUUUGUUAGUCUUGAUUUUUUUUCACACAGAUUAAGAAAGUGUAAUUAAUUUGGUUGGAAACAUAAAUUUAGAUUAAUAAUUUCCUAAAAUACCCUUAUGCUAAUCACGAAGAGUGCCAAUUAAUAUCAAAGAAUGAUGGCAUUAUUUGUUUCCCUCCUGAUAUAAAUAAAUUUUAAAGAAUAAUAAGAUAGACUUUUCAUUUAUCUAUGUAUUGGAAAAACUCAAUGUAUUCAAUGUAGUGGGUUAGUAUUUAAUAACAAUGUAUUAAUAACAAGAUAUUUAAUAAGGGUAUUUUAGACAAUUUGAAAGAUUACUACAUUCCUUAAUGGGAAAGUGGACUACAAUUUGGGACAGAUGAAAAAGGAAAACAAGACUAACAAAACGGGAUGGAGGGAGUAUUAAGGUUUGCUCUUUGUAAUGUUUCAUCUGCAAAUUUUUUUUAUUAUUUGUUGUCGAUUAUGUUUGAUAAUAGGUAUGUCACUGAAAAGAAUAGUUAGGAUCUUGCAUUUUUUUUAUUUUUUGGUAAACAACUCAUAAUAUGUAAAAAAAAUUUAAGUAAGCUAAAAAUAACAAAAUCAUCAUUUUAUCAUACAAAUUAUGUUUUUGUAUUUUCAAAAUUUAAUGUAUAUGCAUAUAUUAUUGAUAUGUAGUUAUAACAGGUAUAGCAAAUAUAAGCUUAUAACCAUCAUAGUUAUUUUAAAUUUUUUAAUAAAUAACUUACAAUAUGUAAAAAAUUAAAAUGAACUCUAAAUAACCAAGUCAUCAUUUUAUCAUACAAAUUAUGAUAUUUUUAGUUCUUAAAUUAUAAGAUAUAUGCAUAUAUUAUUAAUGUGCAGCUAUAUAUAUAUAUAUAUGUAUGUAUGUAUAUUUUCUACGAGAAUAUCCUUCUCCGUCCCUUGUCCCAUUUAAAAUGGGGGAAGAAAAAUCCCCCCACUUUCGCACUGCCUUGCCUUGCCCCGUUGCUCUCUGCGAGGCAAGUGUUUGCCAUGCCUAACUUUUUUUUUUUAUUGAAACAAUAGAAUUGUAUUGAUUGGACAAAAGUAUAUAAAGGCGAGCACAUGCUCGAUGCUUUACAAUGUGCAUUUAGCACAGUAGAUUGGGAUUAACACACUCUACAUCAUGAUAAUUACUCAGAGCUUGAGCAUUAAAUAAACAGCUAAGAUAAUUCUUAUUAAUUUUUCCUAAGGGAUAAUUGCAGAAACCUCCCCUGACGUUUAUAGUAAUAGCAUUGUCCUCCCCUAUCAAUUUUGAAAUUGCACUGACCUCCCCUAUCAAAAGUUGGAGGCAAUUUAAUAGGCAAAAGUGGGUCAAUUUACUAAAGUACCCCUGACAUGAUUUAAUUUUACCAAAUGAAUGUGAUGAGUACUUUCAUCAAACCCAACAAAACAUUUGUUAAUAAAAAUUACACUAAAUUAACUAUUUCUGCAUAGUUUAACUAAUUAACUAAAUAACUAAAUAACUAAUAAUCUAAUUAAUUAAUAACUAAUUAUCUAAUUAACUAUUAACUAAUUAUCUAAUUGUUAAUAGUUAUUAACUAAUCAAACUAUUUCUGCAUAGUUAAACUAAUUAACUUUUUGAAUUUUACUUACAAAUAUUGAUGUUUUUAUCAUAAAUUAAAUGUUUGAAAGUAAAAUACCUAUAAAGAGCUGAUACUUUAAAUAGGUAAUGCGUACUGCAUAUAGUUUAGCAUGCAAAUAGUUUGUUAAUUAGUUAAGCAGUUAAUUAGUUAAUUAGUUUAACAUGCAAAUAGUUUAUUAGUUUCGGACAGACAAAAACUUUAGUUAAUUAGUUAAUUAAUUAAUUAGAUAAUUAGUUAAUAGUUAAUUAGAUAAUUAGUUAAUAGUUAAUUAGUUUAACUAUUAACUAAUUAGAUAAUUAGUUAAGCAAUUGUCAAGCAAAUAAUAAAUUGUCAAGCAAGAAAAUUCUUAUCUCACUUCUACAAAAGCUGUCAAGGAGGUUUCUGCCACGAAUUGUUACUGUUCAGGGGAGGUGAAUGCAAUUUCUAAACCUAGAGGGGAGGUCAGUGCAAAUGUCAGAAAUCUCAGGGGAGGUUUCUGCAAUUAUCCCUUUUCCUAAACAAAAGGAGCAUUUGUAAAACGUACUCAAUUCACGGAUGUCAUUUGUCAGGGUAGCUAGCCAUAUAUAGACUGUUUUACCCCCUUGAAUUUGCUGCAGCUGGUCUUUAUUUGGAACUCCAAUGCAUACAAACCUCCAUCCUUGCUCUUGACACCUUCAACACAAUGUUGAAAUUGACUCUCACUUGCUCUUUCUCUCAUCUUCCCAUCCCAUCACAUCCUGCCCCCUACUAUCGGCUGCUACAAUGCGCCUUACUAUCGGUUUGCCAUUCCUAGCUACUAUAGGAAUAUUUGGCUGUAAAUUCUUGACUUUGGAGGUCCCUCAUCCCGCCUCUCAAAGGAUUAGACUUUAGAGUUUGGUAGCACAAUUUGCUGCGGUGUAAUUUCGUGGGCCGUCCCAACCAUAAAUAAGCUGGUGCCGCAUCUAUACAUAGGAUUAUGGUCGGACACGGUAGAAUGUCUAGGACACUUUGGUGGCCUCGUUACUUACAAUCGAUGCACCAGGGGGGAAGAUCGCUAAAGUUGUACCUGCGAUGAAUGUUUUGUUCCCUUGUAUUGGAUCAACACGGGGGAAUUUCUCCUCCUCUAGUAGGAGCCAAUGUCUUACUUUCUUGUAAUCCUACCACGACAUUUUGUCACUCCGGGAACCAAAGCAAAUGUCAAUGGGGUUCGUCAAUCUCACUCUAAGUAGCCCAACCGGCGUCAGCAUCUCUAAUCUCAACAUGAAUGCUCAGCUUUGCCUCAAAGGGGAUUCCUUAGAGCACCCAUUUAACCCAUUGCUAUAACAAUUGGAUCCAUGUAUGGUUUUGCUUAUCCAUUCGCUGUCGUCAUAGCCGCUAGUUUUAGCUGGUAAUGCUGAAGCAAACGCUGUAGCUGGCCAUUUCUCCUCGAGUCCUGACAACUUCCGGUUCUUUCUUGCCAAGUAUCCCCACUGUGAUUUGGGAUCUAUAUAUAUUUUUUAACUAUUAUUAGCUGUAAAUUUUUUACUUUGGCACUUCCCUGUCCAAGCUCUUACUUCUUAGGGGAUUUCAGUAUGGCUUUCGUGGACGGUCCCAAGUCCCAACCAUAUAUAAGCUUGUCCCUGCUCUAUAGGUGGGAUUGUGGUAGGGUAGUUUCCUAAGGUAGCUGUUCUUGCACGUUUGCUGGGGCAGUCCCUUAUCUAUAAGACCGAGAAGUUAUUGCAUGGGUGCAAUAGCUCACUAUCCAUCAUUUCUUAUCAAAUACUUUGUAAAAUUAAAUUGUUCAUAAAUUGAAAUAUGAUUCGUAUUAGUGUAGCAAGGGAUAAUGUCGGACUUCAAAGUCGGUGUAGCUGUACUUUGUCCGGUUGGACCCGUUCUACUAGUCGUUGUGUUUGCUACAACCUUUUUUUGUACAUAUUAUUAUUGUACCAAAUUUACAUAAAAUUAGUAUUUAGUGCACGCUCAAUGUAUAUGCAUCAAAUCUUAAAUAUCGUAUAUUUGUAAAAUUGUUUUUAUGAAAAUUGAUUUUGUAUUUUCCUAAUGAAUAUAUAGAUAUGUCUAUGUGAAUGGAUAGUAACUUAUAAUUAGUUUUUACUUGUUUAAUGAAUAAUGAAUUUGUUUACAAAUGGUGCAGGACUAGGAAUGAAUGAUUGGAGAAGUUAUUGGACAGAAAAAAUGUUGGAUGGUUUUAAUUCUAGUCACUACCCUCGGUCAAAUCAGGCCUCUAGGAUCACAUGUCACUUACAAGGAUGAUUAGAAAAAUUUAAAUAACGUAUGGUUGUUAAUUUAGCAGUAUCGAGAUUAACGUGCAAUUGUUGGGGAUAAUAGUUCAAAUUCAAAUAUGGUAUUUUUUUUCUUUUUUUUUUUUAUCUUUUAACCUAAGAGGUUAGGACGACUUAGGCCUUACAAUUAAGGGUAUAAUAAAAAUAUCAAAACAUUCUCACCAGUAGGGGUGGGAUUGGCAGUGUAUCUGAGAGAGGUUCGAAAUUUUUCACUUACAUUUAAAAAAAUAAAAACAAAAACAAACGCUACCACCGAUGUAUGUAUUAAACACUAGUGGCGAACAAUAUUUUCUAGUGUAUAACUCUCCUCCUUUUCUCUAACUCCUCCUCCUUUCCAACAAAAAAAAAAAAAACAGCGCUUUCCUCAAUGGCUUCUCAUCGUGAUCAUUCUUUCUUUGUUGUCUUUCUUUGCCUCGCUAUCCUCUUUGCUUUCAUGGCUUCUGAUACAGCCAACGUCAAUAUAGUUGUGCCCAGGAUGAGGGUUUCUGAUCGAUUACACUGCACCAAUACGGGGAAUCAUUUACCUGCUGGCCUUUCUUCUCCUCUAAUUGGAGCCAAAGUCUCAGCCACUUGCAAUCUUGGUACUACAAAUUUUGUCGCUCCGGUAACUAUAACAGAUGUGAAUGGCUUCUUCAGUGUCACCAUAAAAGAUGUCGACAUGAUCCUUAAUUACACCACAAAUACAUCUCGUCCAACUGUUGGAAAAUUGUAGUAAAUAACAAAACUAAACUAGACAAAUGUAGAGACUUUGAGGCGUGAAAGCACUUUACUUAAGGUGUUAUUUGCUUAUAUUAGACAAAUUACCUCUAGGAUACAACAAAGUCUAAGAACUAUCAAAUGAAAAGUAAAAGUGAUUUAAUUAUGUCGAAAUCCUACUAUUUAAAAGAAUUGAAGCACCUGUCCAAGGCACUAUCACAGGAUGCAAUCCUUGUUGAAUAGGUGUAUAAGCAGUUAACUAAUUAACAGAUAUGUCUGCUAAACGUAACCGCCAACCGCCAACCGCCAACCGCCAUUAACUACCUCUGAUUGUCUGCUCAAUUACGAUUUGGCAAGCAUUUCUUUUUUCUGAUUUUAGCACCCAAGAAAUUUUAGAAGUUUAAAGAAUAGAAUGCAAGAAUAACCUUGUAAAAAUUUGAAAUAAAAAUCUCAACUUUAGUCAUAUAUAUAUAACACAAGCAUGCAAGCUGGGUUUAGAGUAUCAUUGAAAAAGAUGAUAAGAUUCAUAACUUCAUAGUGAUAAGAUUCAUGGCUUGCAGAAAUAAAUUAGUAGAAACUGCUUACUAAUUACACGAGACUCUUGUGUGUUUAGAUAGUAGAUUUUUUGAAAUAUUAUUUAAAAUAAUUAAUGUAACACUUUUUGUGAUGUGAUAUAUAUGAAAUAAACAAAUUGUUGGGGAUUAGACUUGCAAACGAAUCGAAUCGCAUCGAGUUUUGAUCUAGUGAGUUGGGUCACGACUUAAUUUUACCAAAACUUGAACUCGAACUUGAGUUCGACGAGCUCUCAAUAUAAAGUCAAAUUCAAACUUCAUCUCAAAUUCGAGUCGAGUCGAGCUCGAGUUUAAAAAAAUGAAAAAUAAUUAUUUUAUUUUUAAAAAUGAACAAAAUAGUAAUUUUUGUUAACAAAUAAUAAAAUAUUAGGAAUAUAUGCGCGUGUGUGUGUGGUGUAAAAUCACUAUUAAAAUAAAAAAAUAUAUAAAAUUGAGCGAGCUCGCGAGUUAACGACCUCAAUAUCUUUGAUCCUAAAUUCGACUUCUUCAGCUCGAACUCAACUGGAGAUCAAUAUUAGGGCUACAAACGAGUCGAGUCAAGCCAAACUUUAGCCUAAUUGAGCCAAACCUUGACUUAGUUUUAUCAAACUUGAACUUGAAAUCGAGUUCGAUGAGUUGCCAAUUUAAAACUCGAGCUCGAAAAAAUAAAAAAUAAUUAUUUUAUUUUUUAAAAAUAAAUAAAAUAAUAUUUUUCUUAAUAAAUAAUAAAAUAUUAAGAAUAUACAUAUAAUUUUACUAUUAAAAUAAAAAUAAAAAAUAUAUAUAUACUCGAGCAAACUACAACAAAGAAAAAGUGGACAUUAAAUAAAUUUCAAAUUUCCAUUGGAAAGUGAAAAAUAAAAGAUAGGUGGGAUUUAAAAUAUAUAGCUAAAUGAGGGGUCUGAAUAAAAUAGCAAACAUAUUUUAAAUAUAAAUUUUUUAGUAAAUAAAUAAAUAAAAAUUAAAACUUGAAAUUUUUGAAGCAUAUUGCCUUAGCUUGGGCCGAAAGACAGCUGAAGAGAUAACAUUACAUAUUAUAACUUAGGGCAAAUCGUCAAUUUAAUCUCUAAACUUUUUCACUUAAACCAAUUUCGUCAUCUAUGAUUUUUUUUCACCAAUUUAGUUCUCAAACAAUUUUAUCAGAUUCAAUGUAGGACUUAUUAGGCGACGCCACCAUAUUUUAUGUAUUUCAUAUGGCGGGCCAGCGAUAUAAUUGGAAUGACAAGUUCGACUGUCUAAUUAUAGAGAUUAUAAUGGAGACUUUUAGAUGAUUAAAGACAAAAAUCGCUGAAAAUUGAGAGAGGAGCACUGAAGAGAAACCCAACCAAGGUAAUAUUUUGGAUCCUUAUGGAGCAGCAGAGCAGAGUCGUGGCCGAAAAUGGUUCCCCAGAUGUCUACUGUAUCAAAUGUAUUUGGUUCCAGGGCCUUUGAGAGAUUCAGGUACGAUCUGACGCUUUUAGAAGCAGCAUCCAGAAGCGACAACUUGGGCAACGCUUUUGCUGGGCUGGUCAAGGAGUCCACCGCCACACUGCUCAACUCCGAUGCCCGGAAGGGUUAUCCCUACUCUGCUUGGGAAAAUCAAGACUUUGGUGAUCUAGGCUUUGGUUUCCAAACACACCGCUGCCUGAAGAAGCACGGAACUUCCCCGGAUCGAACUGACCUGAUGAGCUCGGGGUGUUGAUGGAAGAGCUGGUUCUAAGCCUGCAAGGUAAACAGGAGAGUGGACUGGCAGGGGCCCCGAGGUUGUCCCCGAGGGCACUCCGACGGUCAAGUUAGUCCUCCGGCGAGUGAGGGAAGUACCAACAGUAAAGCAGUUGGGAGUAAGUUGCCAAUAGUGAGCAUACCUUGUACAGUUGGUAUGUGUUAUCAUUUAUACCUGUUGAAGAGUCCGACCUCCGUACGUUCCGGGGCUUGCCGUAGAUAGCCCCCAACCCCGCGCUAAGGGGGAUUCUCCCCGCCCUCUGCGGGGUAGCUCUCGGGAGCCUCCCGGAGCCCUAGUCGCCGCGCCCCCUGGGCUGGUUCCCCGUGGGCCCGGGGCGCAAGCCCAGCUCGGGUCGCCCCUGGGCUGCCACGUGUGCAGGCCCAGGAUGGGGCCUCUGCACUAGCCCCCUAGAUUAGGUCCGGCUCCCAGGCAGACCUGAUCUAUCACUUGGCCACGUGGAAGCCCAUCAUCACACUGCUCUGCCGCGGUCACCUCCGAGGCUGUGCUGACAUUGGGAAGUGGCGUCCGCGUCCCUUCAGUUGUCGCUUCCCUUCGGUCUCCGUACCCCCAUUAAAUGUGUUCACAUGGGACGGUUCAAAUUCAAGUAACCGUUUCUCCCCCAUUUCGUUCCCUAUAAAUAGGGGCUGCCAAAUUCCGGUUAACUCCAUUUGCCAUUUUCUCCUUUCUUCGUGCAUUUCCAACUCCCAGUAGUGCAUUUCCGGCCAACAGCACCCAGAUUCCGGCGAUCCUGUUCACCGCUUCAACUCCAACACAUUCCCUGUCCACUAGUAAGUCCUUUCCCCUCUUCUUUCGCAUUUCCUUACCUCUUUUCAUCACCCUUUGCAUUUUAUGUCGGGCCUCUCCGACGUUACUUCUACCGUAUCCCAGACUCCGGUCCAUCGUAGAGCCACCAGAAUCUUCAUCUCCUCUUCAUCUUCAUCUUCAUCUUCAUCGUUUCCCCCUCCUUCUCCUUCUUCAUCCUCUGCUUCCAACCCCCAUUUUCCCAUUCCUGAUUUGCUUGAGCCCAUUGACAUCAUGAGUUCUCCCUCUGCCCAUUCUCCUUCCGCCCGCCUCCGAGCUUGAUGCCUACAUCCGGCAGCAAGCCACUUCUGUCCCAUCCCCCGAGUCCCCACAUGACUCCCCUGGCGGAGCCCAAGGGGGAGCUGGGGAGGACAGGGAAUCCUCAGAGGGGACCCCUGCUGCCGAGCAGGGGGGAUGAUCCUGAGUUCAAUUACGGUCACCCCGAUCGGGAGGAGACCACCCUCUCGCCCGGGGCGGUAGCCGAGCUGGCCUCUUCAUUCUCUAUUCCUCCGGCCUUCGAGCCGCGAGCUGCCGAGCCCACCGACCGGGCUUGCCGACCUCCCCCAGGCUUUGUAGCCAUUUACAAAGAGCAGCUGGUCGCGGGGCUUCGACUCCCCAUUCCCCCGGCCCUGGCCGAGAUCCUGAGCUUCUGGGGGCUCAGGAUCACCCAGGUCCACCCUAACUCCAUCAGGAGCAUCAUCGGGUUCCUGAUCUACUGCCAGAUCUGCUCCAUCCCCUAUUCUCUCUCUCUCUUCCGCACUAUCUACGUCCUCAAGGCCUCCCUCCCUGGGUGGUACUACUUCUGCCGUCGCUCCACCAACAAUCGCGGCGGGAAGGGGGCCCAGGAUCUUCUCUACGGGGUCCCCUCUUCCGUGAAGAACUGGAAGGGGGACUUCUUUUUUGUCAAAACCAACCAAUUUCCUCCCAAUGCAUGGAAGGUUGGGGGGGUCGAGGACGACCCCUGCCCGGAGGACCUGGACCUUAAGGCUCUCGCCCAGCUGCUGGCCUCUGCGACGAAACUGUACGCAGCCAAGUUCUGCACUGAGCAGAUUUCCGCAGCCGGGCUGUUGGGGAAGCUGUCCGGGUCCCCCGGAGGGGUGGAGUUCUCCCUCGCCGACCAUGAUGCCUGUAAUAUUGCACCUGUUCCCCUGUUAUCUGCUGCCUUUUUCCCUUUGUUUUUCUGACCUAUAGCACUAACUUGGUGAUGUUCUUUGUAGUGAAGAGGCUUUCCAGGCUAUUGGGUGCGGCGGUCGAGGAGACAGCCUCCGCUGAACAGCCUGAGGCGGCGAAGAAGGCCCCUAAGGCCUCUGCGACUCCUGGGGGCAGCUCGACCCCCCAAAAAGAGGCCUCUCAAGCUCAGUCCCCCUCCAAGCCAGCCCCCGGAAAGGAGAAGGCAACAGGGCAGAAGAGGGGGCGAGAAGACGAGCCUUCCCAGCUUGGGAAGAAAACCGCGCAGGGCCCAGCUCAGCGCCCUCUCCUGCUGACGUCUGGAGGCCCGGUCCACCUGGGGGUAGGCUCCGCGGAGGAGCACGCCCAGGAGAGCGCUCCCCCGAGCUUGUGGCACUUCCGCCAUGUGGCCCCCUCGAAGCCGGGGCAGGCCCCCACAAUGCAUGAUCCCCGGCGUUUCUGUCCGUCCUGGGAGCUCUCCAUCAAUGACCGAGCCCAAUUCCCCGAAGUGGCUCGCGAGCUGGUCACGGGCUCAGUCCUUCCACGUGACAAGAAGUUGAUGGAGCUGGCCACCCCGUCUGAGCUCCAAGACAUGUACUACACCGCCCAGGCCCAAGUAAGCCUUUCCCCCUUUUAGGCCCCCUUGAGCCCCUGCUCUUUCUCUGAAUGGGGCUAGCAAUGAGCUGACUCUUACUUUUGUUUCUACAGGCCAACGCCGCCGGUGCUGCCCUGAUGACCCGUUUCUCCGAGCUGUCUCCCGACUUGGAGAAAAUGCAAAAGAAAAAUCGGGAGGCGGAGCAGAAGCUGACCAAGGCCCUGAAGAAGGUGGACUCCCUUAAGGCCAAGCUGGGCAAGGCUGAGAAGGGGCUGGAGGACUCCCAGGUCCAGCUCGCCUCCACCCGGUCCGAGCUGGACCAAGAGACGAAUGGCGUGGCGAAGCUGAAGGAGGAGCACGCCUUCGAGCUCUCUGGCACCAUCAGCCGGGAGAGCAAGAAGGCUGUCCGGGACUUCAUCUCCUCCGAUCAGUUCGCCGAUGACGUGGCCUGCCUCAACCAGCCCAUCUUCCAGAUCGGCGCCACGCGGACCCUGGACAAGGUGAAGGGUCUCAACCCACCCGGCUUCAACUUGGCGGACAUCAAGAACUACAAUCCUGCGGCCGAGGAGAAGCUUGACUGGCUCUUCGAUGGGUACCGCAAGGGGCAUGCCCUGAGGGAGCUGAUGGGAAGGAGCGAUGUGGGGGCCGAGCUGGCGGAGCUUCCUUUGGAGGAGGAGGAGACUCCUGGCAAGGCUUCCGGGAAGGAGCCCAUGGCCUAAAGCAGCGGCCACUCCAGAAACCCUUUCCGUCUCCUUAUAAGGAUGUGACCAUGCUCCAGUUGAAAAUGCUCUUGAAGGUCCAUCUGAGACGGAAAGGCCCCCCAAGUCCUUUUUCACAGCCUUCUCCACCCGACAUAAGGAUGUGACCAUGUUCCAGUUGAAAAUACUCUUGAGGGUCCAUCUGAGACGGAAAGGCUCCCCAGAUCCUUUUUAAUAGCCUUCUCCACCCGACCUCCAACAUACUUAAGGUGCACCUUCAGCUCCUACCUCUCAACAUGUUUGAGGUGUACCUUCAGCCCCUACCUCUCAACAUGUUUGAGGUGUACCUUCAGCUCCUGCCUCAAGCAGAUCGCCAGCAAGAAGAAAGGCGUAGCUAGGUUCCCCCCUUUCCCUGUAUAGCUCGGUAGGCUUUGUAAUAGAUAGGCUGAAAGUUUUGUAAUAGAUAGGUUUUGAAUGUUUAUACGAAAUUCGAAAGAGUCCCUCCUACAAUUCUUUCCUGCACCCCACUGCAACAAACGAAACCAGGUGCCGACCUCCUUGGUCGAGCACCAAAUGCAUACCCCCGUUAAUCUAACAACUAAAUCAUUAGAGGGAAGCAGAUUGUCGAAAACCUGUGCCGACCUCCCGGGUCGAGCACCCCACCGUCCUACCGGGGCAACGUGCCAGUCUCUUGGGGCUGAGCACCAAAUCCUUAAGGGUCUUCCCCGCCGACCUCCCGGGUCGAGCGUCCGACCUUGAAGGCGUUCGUGUCGACCUCCUGGGCCGAGCGUGGAAUUUUCGGAGCCCUUCAAAGUUCUUCAAAGUUUUCCAGUCGUGCCGACCUCCUGGGGUCGAACACUCUUACGAACAUUCUGGCAUCCAGUACUACCCCCUAGCCCCCCACUAGGACAUUUAGUGAGGGAACGCUAAGUGUGCUAGUGUAAGAUUCAAGCUUAAAAAGCAAACAAGUACAAAUAAAAUCACAAACAAGUGAGCUUGUAUUGAGUAAUGAAACUGAAAUUCGAAUUCCAGAAAACAGACAAACGGACACCCUGGUCCAACCUAUGCCUACAAACAGUCGCAGAUUGGAGAAGUGCCAAGUGCGGGGUAACUCUGAUCCAUUUAUUUUCGCGAGCUUGCAGUAGCCAGCUCGGCUUGCCUCGAGGACCUGGUAAGGGCCCUCCCAGUUCGGGUCGAGCUUGUUGGAGUUAUGAGCUCGGCUGAUCGAGUUUUUCCUUAGGACAAGGUCCCCUGGCUGGUACUGUAUGGUCCUUACUCUGGCAUUAUGAUAGCGGGCAAGCUGGCUUUUGUACUUAGCCAUCCGUACUGCCGCUUCUUCACGCUUAGCCUCCAGCGUGUCCAAGUUGUACCUCAGCUCUUCCCUGUUGGUUGACGCAACGAAGUUCUGUGUCCGGGGCGAGGGGAGACCAAUCUCCGCGGAUACCACCGCCUCUACUCCGUAAGUCAGAGAGAACGGGAUUUCAUGGGUGGCCGUUCUGGGCGUGGUGCGGUAAGCCCAGAGAACGCUAGGUAGUUCGUCUAGCCAAUUAGACUGGGCUAGCUCCAACCUAGUCUUUAGCCCCUGCAGGAUGGUUCGGUUGGCAUUCUCCACCUGACCGUUGGCUUGGGGGUGUCCAACCGAGGUGAAGUGCUGGUUAAUCCCGAGCUCGGCGCACCAAUUUUUGAAGGGAUUUUCGGCAAACUGUCGGCCAUUGUCGGAUAUUAGGACGUGCGGGAUUCCGAAGCGGCAGACUAUGUUUUUCCAGAAGAACUUCUGAAUUGCCCUACCAGAGAUGGUGGCCAGGGGUUCGGCUUCCAUCCACUUCGUGAAAUAGUCGAUGGCUACCACGAGGUGUUCGUACCUGCCCGGAGCUCGGGGGAAGAGACCCAGGAGGUCUAUCCCUCACUGGGCGAAAGGCCAGGGACUGUGGAUGGGGACCAUCUCCCGGGUGGGUUGGUGGCGCAGCGAGGCAUGCACCUGACAUGCUCGGCAUUUUUGAACCAAAGCAGCCGCAUCUUGGAAAACCGAAGGCCAAUAGUAGCCCAGGAGAAGGCAUUUUUUGGCUAGUACCCGGGACUCGACAUGCGCCGUGCAUAAUCCUUCAUGGAUUUCGCAGAGGACAUAAUCGCCCUCCUCGGGAGUCACGCACUUUAGCCAGGGGGAUAGGUAUGACCUCCUGUAGAGGGUUCCCCCGGCGUAGGCGUACUUGGCAGUUCUGAACUGGAUCCGGCGAGCCUCGGUUUUGUUCUCAGGGAGGGCACCCGAGCUGAGGAAGUUUACGAGAGGGGUCAUCUAGAUGGCCGAGCUGUCUAUAGCCAGGACCUGGACCUGAUCGAUAUUUUUCUGUUUCACAACCUCAACCAGAACUUCUUUGUUCAGGUGCGCAAACGAGGAGGAUGCCAGAUUUGACAGGGCGUCUGCGCGCUUGUUUUGCGAUCUAGGCACCCGCUCGAUUUCAAAUGUAUCAAACAGGGCUGUCGCCCCCUGCACCUUGGCCAAGUACUUCUUCAUGACCUCCUCCUUGGCCUCGUAUUCCCCGCAGACCUGGAGGACGACGAGUUGAGAGUCACUCCAGACUUUGAUCGCGGUAAUACUCAUCUGGUGGGCUAUCCGCAAUCCCGUCAAUAGGGCCUCAUACUCAGCCUCAUUGUUAGACGUGGGGAAGUCGAACCGGAGAGCAUAGAUUAGUUCUUCCCCUGUUGGCGAGAUGAGCAGUAGACCGGCUCCGCUUCCCUCCUUGCUGGAGGCCCCAUCUACGAACAGCACCCAUGGCUCCUUCGGCUGUACAUCAUCGCGUAGAGGGCUUAGCUCGGUUAGGGUCAAGUUGGCCCCCUCAGCAAGGAAGUCUGCCAGGGCUUGGGCCUUGAUGGCUGUGGGAGGCUUGUAACCGAUGUCAUGCUCAGCCAACUCGACGGCCCACUUGGUCAUCCUGUCCUAGAUUUCGGGCUUGGUGAGUAUCUGCCGCAGGGGUUGGUCGGUCAUGACGACGACGCUGUGGGCCUGAAAAUAAGGUCGAAGUUUUCGGGCAGCAUGCACCAAAACCAGGACCAGUUUCUCAGCCGGCGUGUACCGUGUCUCCGGCCCUUGGAGAGCACGGCUGACAUAAUAUAUCGGCCUCUGAGCCCCCCUGUCCUCCCGCACCAGAACCGCGCUAACGGCCUCGUUGUAGGCGGACAAGUACAGGAACAAGGUUUCUCCCUACUCCGGUGCGAUCAGGGUGGGUAGCUCGGCCAAAUAUGCCUUGAGGUCGGUGAAAGCCUUCUCGCACUCCUCGGUCCACUGAAAGUCUUUGGGUACCUUAAGGAUUCGGAAGAAGGGGAGCCCCCUCACCGCGGGCUGAGAGAGGAAUCUGUUCAGGGCGGCCAUCCUCCCCGUGAGUCGCUGGACCUCCUUCACAUUCCGUGGAGGGGCCAUGUCCAUGAUGGCCUGGAGUUUUUCGGGGUUGGCCCGGAUCCCUUCUCGGGAGACCAAGAAACCGAGGAACCGGCCCGACCUAACUCCGAAGGUGCACUUCUUCGGGUUUAACCGCAUCCGACUCUCCCAGAGGAUGCUCAAAAUCUCCCUCAGGUCGGGACGAGCUGUGGUCCUGCUCGGCUCUUGACUAUCAUGUCGUCCACGUAAACCUCCAUGCUCCUACCGAUCUGGUUCUGAAAUAAUUUAUUGACCAAGCGUUGGUAAGUAGCUCCGGCAUUCUUUAGUCCGAAGGGCAUCGUCCGGUAGCAGUAAGUUCCUUCCUCGGUGAUGAACGAUGUUUUUUCCCGAUCCUCCUCGGCCAUCUCUAUCUGGUGGUAUCCCUUAAAGGUAUCCAAGAAACACAAAACAUCAAAACCAACAGUAGCAUCUACUAACCUGUCGAUCCUUGGCAAGGGGAAGCAGUCCUUCGGGCAGGCUUUAUUGAGAUCCGUGAAGUCAACGCACAUCCACCAGGACUGGUCCUCCUUCUUUACCAGAACAGGGUUGGCUAGCCAGGUCGGAUAGUAGACAUCCAUGAUGAUUUUGGAUUCCAGCAGCUUCCCGACCUCCUUUCUGAUCACCUCAUUUCUCUCUGGAGCGAAGUUCCUCUUCUUCUGCUUCACAGGCCUGAAGCGGGGGUCUAUGUUGAGGUGGUGGACGGCCAGGUCAGUCGGAAUCCCAAGCAUGUCUUCUACCGUCCAAGCAAAAACCUGGGCGUACUCCCUUAGGAGGGCCUUCAGGUUGUCCUUCUCUUUGGGCGGCAGCGAUGCACCGAUACGGAUUGUCUGGUAAGGCCUCCCCUCCUUCAAUGGAAAUUCCGCGAUCUCAUCCGGAGUGUCCAGCUGCCGUUCCUCCUCCCCCGGGAUGUAGGGUUCCAAGCUGGUCGCCUGAGCGACCACCUUCUCAUGCCCCUGGAGCAUGGCGAGGUAGCAAGUUCGGGCCACUUCCGGAUCUCCAUGCAUCUCGGCAACUCCUUCUGGGGUGGGGAAUUUGACGCUGAGGUGGAGCGUUGAAGGAAUAACUCGGAGGGCAUUCAAGGUGGGCCGACCAAGAAAUAUGUUAUACGGGGAUGGCUGCUUGACCACCACAAAGUUGACAGGGAUGGUCCGGCAUCUAGGUGCCUGACCUACUGUGACCAUCAGGGUGAUCAUCCCCUCCGGGUUGACAGGCGGUCCGGUAAAACCCACCAGGGGUGUCCGAACCGGGGUCAGCUGUCCAUCCUCCAAGCUGAGCUCCUUGAACACCCGAUAAAACAUAAUGUUGACCGCACUGCCUUGGUCGACGUAUACAUUCUUCACCCGAUAGUUGUUGGUCACAACAUCGAUGACUAUAGCCUCAUGGUUCCCAGAUGCUAGGGGAACCGCGUCCCUCGGCCCGAAGGUGAUCUCCUCGUCCAUGCGCAGGCGUUUUAGGGAGUCGUCCCCCUCGGGGGGAGAUCGCUUGUUUUUCCGAGGUGCAUGGCUAUCCCCCCCGUGGGACCGCCGGCAAUGGUGUUUAUCAUACCAGCCAAGUUCUGGGCGUCCUGGUCGGGGGAAUAACCCUGUGGUUCGCCACGCCGAUCAGGUCGGUCACGGUGCUGGCCCUCGCCUCUCUCUCCACGGUAGGUGCGUCCCGGCUCCUGGCCUGGGCGACCUUGCCGCACAAAUCGCCCCAAGAAGCCGCGCUGAACGAGGUCCUCAAUCUCCCUCUUUAGGGCCCAGCACCCUCAGUGUCAUGCCCGACGUCCCUGUGGAAGGCACAGUACCGGUGCUGAUUCCUCUUAUUUUGAGGUGUGCCCAUUUUAGGCGGCCGGUCUCCCAGGCCCUUUGUCUCCAUGACAGCUAGGAUUUGUGCCCUUGGCCGAGUUAGGGGUGUAUACCCUUUUUCAGGGAGCGGCGGUUGAGCGGGGGCCCUAUCCUUAGAGAGGCGAUCGAAGACGUUCUUCUUGGCUUGGCCGUCCUUGGUUUCAGGGGGGUUUGCCUGUCCUUUCCGGUCCCCGAGCUCCCGAUCUGAUUCUCGUUUCAGGCGGCCGGCCUCCUCUGCGUUGGCAGCAGCGUGAGCCCGGGUCAGGAGCUCUCCCAGAUUCUUGGGGCGCUGUUCGACAAGCUUGUAGUAGAGCUCCUCUACCCUUAGCCCGUUCAUGAAGGCAGCCAUGACCACCUUCUCAUCUUUGUCCCUGAUCUGCAGGCUUUCCGUGUUGAAGCGCGUCAUGAAAUUCUUCAGGGACUCAUCCGGCUUCUGCUUGACGGCCAUCAAGUGGGCCGCGUUUUUCGAGUAAGUCUUCGAGGAGAUAAACUGGGCGGCGAACUGUCUGGCCAACUCGGUGAAACUCCGGAUAGACCUCGGGGUUAGACCCUGGAACCAGAGCCGGGUCUUACCCUUCAGGAACAUGGGGAAGGUCUUGCAACGGAGUGCAUCCGCGGCGGUCUGCAGACGCAUGUGCGUCAGGAAGACCGAGAGGUGGUCCUCCGGGUCAGUCGAACCAUCGUACAACUCGAUGUUUGGGAUUUUAAACCUCCGAGGCAACGGGUAGUCCUCUACCUCUCGGGUGAAGGGCGAGGCCGCGUAGUUGUCCUCGUACUGUUGUGGUCGCAGGAUCUGCUCGAGCUCGUCCCGGACGGGCUGCCAUUGGGGAGGGUACCGCGGCCGACUCCUGAUAGACCGGACGGGGGAGCGCUCCGGCUCAUUCCGCGUAAGCUUCCACGAGGAGGGAUUCCCCAGCCGGCCCCCAGCAGACCGAUCGCGAGAAUAUCUCUCACUGUCCCCGACCACUGAGGCCCGCGGCCUGGGAGGAGUCCACGGUCGUUUCCUCCUGGGGGGCUGGUCUUGCGACUCGUCCUCCGAGGGGAUGGGGAGCGACUCCUUUUCCUUCCCCUUUGCCUUUGAGGUCUGCGCACCGCCAGCCUCACCCCCCUCCUUCGCCUGCCGGAUUAUGUCUUCCAGCAUGGGGAGGUUUUCGGUUACAAACUGGUAAAUCUACUGUUUCCGUUCCCUAGAAAGGGCCGAGCCCCCGGCGCCUCGGGCUGCAUCGGUCUCCAGCCGCCGGGAUCUCUCGCCGGCUCUGGGAUCAGUGUUAUCCAUGGUUCGCUUGGAACGCGUUCUCGCCAUCAACACAAAUACUCGUACCUUCGCUUCCCACAGACGGCGCCAACUGAAGAAGCACGGAACUUUCCCGGACCGAGCUGACCUGAUGAGCUCGGGGUGUUGAUGGAAGAGCUGGUUCUAAACCUGCAAGGUAAACAGGAAAGUGGACUGGCAGGGGCCCCGAGGUUGUCCCCGAGGGCACUCCGAAGGUCAAGUUAGUCCUCCGGCGAGUGAGGGAAGUACCAACAGUAAAGCAGUCGGGAGUAAGUUGGCAAUAGUGAACGUACCUUGUACAGUUGGUAUGUGUUACCAUUUAUACCUGUUGAAGAGUCCGACCUCCGUACGUUCCGGGGCUUGCCGUAGAUAGCCCCCAACCCCGCGCUAAGGGGGAUUCUCCCCGCCCCUGGUAGCUCUCGGGAGCCUCCCGGAGCCCUAGUCGCCCCGCCCCCUGGGCUGGUUCCCCAUGGGCCCGGGGCGCAAGCCCAGCUCGGGUCGCCCCUAGGCUGCCACGUGUGCAGGCCCAGGAUGGGGCCUCUGCACUGCCCUUCAAGCUCAACGCUUUCGCGAUGCCAAUCAAGCUUGUAACCACUUUUAUUUCUGGUUCUCUGGUUUUGAUUCUGAAUUUUUGUGAUCCAUGGUGGCAGCACCACUACCACCGUCACCAGAAUUUCCGCCACCUGAACCACUAUUCCCACUAUCUCCCCUGCCGGAGCCACCAUUAGAUACAGCAAAGAGGCGAAAAUGAUCAGAACCCAGUUGUCUAAAACCAAUUUUAGAGUAACCCAAUUCUUUAUACACAGGAGUUGAGGUUAAAGAAAUUGAGUGAUAGCAGCUUCUGAAGCUGAAGCCCCUACUGCUUAUAGAAGUGGAGAAAGGUGGAAUUUUGGGGGCACACCUAAAAUGUGAAGUGGGUUUGCGAGAAAACUGUACAAAACGAUACAGCAAGGGAGAUUUGCGAACUAGUUUGGCUGGGCUUGAAGCCAUUGUUGCUUGACUUUGGAUUGGAGUUUUGCAGAGGCUAAAGGUUUUAGAAACAGGAUAGCCGGAGGAAUCUCUCUAAAUUGCCUCUCUAAAUUUGGGAAAUCUCAAUUUUUAGAGGUUUUUGUCUUUAAUCAUCUAAAAGUUUCGGUUAUAAUCCCUAUAAUUAGACAGUCGAACUUGUCAUUUCAAUUAUACCCUUGACCCGUCAUAUAAAAUACAUAAAAUAUGACGACGCCGCCCAAUAAGUCUUACAUUAAAUCUGAUAAAAUUGUUUGAGGACUAAAUUGAUAAAAAAAAUUAUAAAGGACGAAAUUAAUUUAAGUAAAAAAAUUUAGGGAUUAAAUUGGCGAUUUGCCUGUAACUUAUAAGCCCCAUCCCAACCCAAAGCUAGGCACCUACUCUGCUUUUCAAGUCCGCGAUCUCCGUUCAGGUAUAUUUACUACUGCUAAUAUACAUAUACUCCAAGAUUACUUAAUGGUUUCUUGUAUUUGCUGUCUCGUCGGUCUCUUCUAAGUCGGCCGUCAACUGGGCCUUCUUGGUAAUCCCGAAAUUUUAUAGAUUCCGGCGAGAAAAAUCUUCAAUUUUUACUGGGAUUUUUGUUGAUUUAUUUCUUGGAGUUUAACAGGAAAAUUAAUUGAUUCAUUGGUUUGAUUGUUUGCAGGUUGACAGAGAAUCCCGGCAAGCAAGUCCCUUUUUCAGUUUUAGCCCUAAUCUUCACCAGGUAAAUUCUACAAUUUUUUUGGGAUUUUUUUUGUUGAAUAGAUUGAUUUUCAGCAUUUUUUUUGGGUUGUCGAAAUUGUGGGUUGAUUUUGUUGGUUUUAGAAGGGUUUAGGGUUGACAAGAUUCCACAUUGGCCCUGAUUGGGUUUCUAUCUUUUCUAAAGAUACCAAAGGGAAAAAAAGGGAAAAUAAGAAGUUAAAGGGGAGAUGUUCUACUAAAAUUAGCUAAUUCAGUAAUUCCAAGGUUACUUUAUUUAAUUUAGAUAUUAAAUUGAGUAUUUUGUUCAAUGUUAACAUAUUAUUAAGGUUUUUGAAGAUUAGUGUUGACAUAAUUAGGUAUUGUUGAAGUUCCUUGUUUGAUGAUGCAGGGGAGAAUGCUUUCCUGUGUAGAAACUUUUCUAUUUCAGAAGCAUGAGAAUAGUUUUGGUGUAGAAAGACUUGGUUUUGGAGCUCAUUAGGUUCAUUGAGCUCAUUUUGUUAGUCGUAUCUACUUCUUUUAGGGUCAAUUGCUAAAAUAUUCUAUGAAUUUUUCACGAAAUAUUGUUGUCGUUCUUGAGAUCUUUAUCGUAUGCCAAUUUAGUAAUUGAACUUUGUUCAUCCUUUGGUGGUUGUCUUGUGGUCAUUCUUAUGGGCAUAUUGAUUCAUUAGCUUGUUUAGUCAUUUGAUUUGGAGCAAACGGGGAACUAAGGUUCAGUCCUCCAAAACUAAAGUCUUCUGGGACAAAAACUAUUCUUUGGAUUAAUUUGACACCCAGUAAAUGAGAUGAUUGUGAUCAAUUAAUUUAGUGACUUCUCCAUUGGAUCUAAAGCUUGCCUGUUAUAACAUGCAGGAAUAACCUUGUAAAAAUUGUCCUUGAGAACUGGGUUCCAAAACUAUUAUUAAUUUGUACUUUCUCACUUAUAUCAAUUCAGCACUUUACAACUAACAAUUUGUGCAUUAAUGGCAAACAAGUAGGAUGGCCGGGUUUUAAAGAAUUCCAAGAUACAGAAACAGACCCAAGAAAUCCAACGUUGGUCAAAGAACUAAUGAGUGAGACAAUAUAAAGCCUAUUUUAGUACUGCCUCCUGCUUUACAAAUUCUACCCAUAUUAAUAUGCACCCACUUACACUCUCUACCUCUCUUUCCCAGUUCCCACCAUCCCAAAUACUUUGAGGUACUUGGAUUUACAAGUUUUUAAAAUCAUUGAAGGUUUUUAAACUCAAUUCUGAUAUUAAAACAAAAUAGUUUGUUGUCUGGUUAACUUAAACAAUCCAGUAGGUCUGGUUCAAAGACUAGGAAAUAAGUACAAGCUUUUCCAUCAUAUGUUCCAGUUUGAGUUAAGAUACAAUUGCACUUGGGCUUUCUAACGGUGUUUUUUUUUAAAAAUUAAAUGAAGUAAAUCCAAGAUGGUUGCCUCUCAAGUCCUUUGUCCUAUCCCAAAUCCAAGUGGAUCGCCUCUCUACGAGUUUUUCUUUAACUAUUUUGUUUGCUGAAAUCAAGAGAUGGGAGGGAAUCCGUUUAACAAUGAAAAACUAGGGAGAAGGUGGAAUCCUUUGGGAAGGUGGAAUCCUUUGGGAAAUUGACAUUUUUUCCCUAAAACAUGAGCACAAUUACAAGAGAAGGGGUAUCACCCCCAAUGAAGAUCAUAAACUAGAGUACACUUUCCAGCCCAUUUCAGACCAUCCACAAACUUUUCAAGUCCCUCAAGACAAACAUUCACACACAUUUCCGCCCCAUAUGUCCACAUAUCAACCCGUAUCACUACAAAAUCCUAAUCACAAGCAAAAUGAAUAAACGAAGUCUAACAUGUUAGAAAGCUAGCUAUGCUGAAAACGAGAACAAAUAUUAUUGUAACAGAGUAACCAACUUCAGAAAAGAAUAAUCAUGAUGAAAUUCACCCGUCCAGACGAAGAACAGAGCCCAUUAAGAUUCCGACUUCAGAGAAAAAAAAAUCACCAAAUCAGCAAGCAAGAAUAACUCGUCGCUAACCAAACACAAAAAAUCCCAAACCCCAAUGAGUAUUCCCAAAAAAAAGAAAAAAGAAUUUAGCAUAAAAAUAGAGUAAAGAGGUAAUUACAAACUGAAAGCCUGUUACUUCUUAGCAAAAUUCACCAACUUUACCUGAAUUUUAUAGAACCCCAACCAAAAAGGGGAAACUUCUAUGUUUAUAGGGUUUAUUCAUUAUAGAACUUCAAAACGAAAAACAAAAAUAAGAAGAAAGAAAUGGAAAUGAUUAAAGCGAAGAAGGACUGACCAGAGAGAUUUGAGCUUGCUAAUUGAAGACAGUAUAUUGAGAAAUUAGGGUUAGGAAUUCGGAAUUUCUUCUCUUUAUUCUCCCUCGCUCUGAAUCUCACUCUCGCCGACUCUACGCUUCGUUUUGAGAUGGUAAAAUCUAAACGAAACCCGAAGGGAAAAUGGGUGGGCCGGGGUUUACCGGCUGCUGUAACAUCUGUUAUUACUUCCUAAUUGCUUUUCUCUUUUUUUUUCUUUUCCGUCUACUUGCUUUUCUAUGUUCGUUAUUACUCAAUCAAAUUAGAUUUUGGAUUCAAGACUUUCUACUUAUAAUUAAAAAAAAAAGAGUUAAGCAAUUAGGAAGUAAUAACAGAUGUUACAGAAGCCGGUAAACCCCGGCCCACCCAUUUUCCCUUUCGUUUAGAUUUUACCAUCUCAAAACGAAGCAUAGAGUCGGCGAUAGUGGGAGUCAGAGCGAGAGAGAAUAAAGAGAAGAAAUUCCGAAUCCCUAACCCUAAUUUCUCAAUAUACUGUUUUCAAUUAGUGAGGUCAAAUCUCUCUGGUCAGUCCUUCUUCGCUUUAAUCAUUUCCAUUUCUUUCUUCUUAUUUUUGUUUUUCGUUUUGAUGUUCUGUGAUGAAUAAACCCUAUAAACGUAGAAGUUUCCCCUUUUUGGUUGGGAUUCUGUAAAAUUCAGGUAAAGUUGGUGAAUUUUGCUAAGAAGUAGCUGGCUUUCAGUUUGUAAUUACCUCUUUACUCUAUUUUUAUGCUGAAUUCUUUUUUCAUUUUUUUGGUCAUACUCGUUGGGGUUUGGGAUUUUUUGUGUUUGGCUAGCGACGAGUUAUUCUUGCUUGCUGAUUUGGUGAUUUUUUUUUUCUUUGAAGUCUGAAUCUUAAUGGGCUCUGUUCUUCGUCUAGACGGGUGAAUUUCAUCGUGAUUGUUCUUUUCUGAAGUUGGUUACUUUGUUACGAUAAUAUUUGUUCUCGUUUUCAGCAUAGCCAGCUUUCUAACAUGUUAGACUUUGUUUAUUCAUUUUGCUUGUGAUUAGGAUUUUGUAGUGAUACGAGUUGAUAUGUGGACAUAUGGGGCGGAAAUGUGUUUGAAUGUUUGUCUUGAGGGACUUGAAAAGUUUGUGGAUCGUCUGAAAUGGGCUGGAAAGUGUACUCUAGUUCAUGAUCUUCAUUGGGGGUGAUACCCCUUCUCUUGUAAUUGUGCUCAUGUUUUAGGGAAAAAAUGUCAAUUUCCCAAAGGAUUCCACCUUCUCCCUAGUUUUUCAUUGUUAAAUGGAUUCCCUCCCUCCUUUUGAUUUCAGCAAACAAAAUAGUUAAAGAAAAACUCGUAGAGAGGCUAUCCACUUGGAUUUGGGAUAGGACAAAGGACUUUGAGAGGCAACCAUCUUGGAUUUACUUCAUUUAAUUUACAAAAAUACACCGUUAGAAAGCCCAAGUGCAAUUGUAUCUUAACUCGAACUGGAACAUAUGAUGGAAAAGCUUGUACUUAUUUCCUAGUCUUUGAACCAGACCUACUGGAUUGUUUGAGUUAACCAGACACCAAACUAUUUUGUUUUAAUAUCAGAAUUGAGUUUAAAAACAUGCAUCCAAGUACGUUCAAUGAUUUUAAAAACUUGUAAAUUAGGGGUGAGCAAAUUCGGUUCUUACCGAAUUCAUAACCGAUUUCAAAUUCAAUUCGGUAAUUUGAAAUCGGGAAUUUGGUAAUUUGGUACAAAUUCGGUACGUACCAAAUUCACCGAAUUCUAAUAUGGUAUAAUGAGAUUAUGAAUUAGGUAAUAACCGAUUUCGCAUUCAAAUUCGGUAAUUGAAAUCGGGUACCGCAUUACCGCAUUCGAAUUACCAAAUUGGCAUAUAAAAUUAUAUAAUAUAUAGAUAAAUGCUAUUUAGUAUUAGUAUAUACUACUAAUACUUUAUUAUAUUAUAUAGGUAAAUGCUAUUAAUAAUAAUUAGUAUAUGGUAUUAUCAAUUUAUCAUCAUAUCAUGUACUUAUAAUAAUAAUAAUAAUAUAUAAUAAUGUACAAUAUAUUAUUUUAGUAUUUGUUAAUUGUUAUAUGACUAUAAUAAUACAAAUAUAUAGUAAUACAUAACAAUAUAAGAUAACUAUAUUACUUAUUAUUUUAUACAUGAGUAACAUGACUAGAAUUAGAUAAUAAUUAACACAUAUGUCAUAUAUGCAUAUUGCAUAAUACUAAAUAUUAAACAAUAAACAUAAUUAGUAAUUAAAUUUAUAUAUUGGUAAUUUGAUACAUCAUUCAUGUUUGAAUUAUUGAAUAUUUGAAUGCGUAAUCUCUAACUUGCAAGUAUUAGUGCACUCUACAUAUUUAACUUAAAAAUUCAUAUUAUCUAUUCACUAAUCUUAAUUCUUAAGACUUUAAGUAUAGAUAAGACAGCUAAGUAGUUAGCAGUGUAAGUGAAUGCAUAUGAAUUGCAAAUCAAUGUACUAGUGUAUUGACUUUCACAAUAACAUGUGUAAGUAAAUAAGUUUUUAUUUUGAUUUGAAAUAAAUUAUAAGUUUGUAACUAAUAUAAGUUAUCACUAGUCAUUGUAAUUUGUAAGUUUGUAACUAAUAGUACUUAUUAUUAAUCAGUGUAAAUUAUAAAUUCAUUGUAACUACUAACUAAUAUUGCUUAUUAUUAGUCAUUGUAAAUUAUAAAUUCAUAAAUUAUCACCAAUCAUUGUAUAGUCUAAGGUUUAUUCUAGUUUAAGUUAAUCACUUUUUAUGUGUUUCUUAAAUCAUAGACUAAGGAUUCUAGGUAUAAGUGAUCAAAUAAAUGCCAAUUAAACCACAAAAUGAUUAGAACAUAAGUAAUGUGUUCAAUUAUGAAUAAAUUUGGGGAUCAAAUUAGUAAUAAUUUAUAAAUCAUUGAGGAGCAUAAUGAAUGUAUUAUAAUUUAGGAGCCCCAAUUUGUAAAUUAAAAAUUACACAAUCACUGCGGAUGAAUUUGGGAAAAGUCAGAUUUCAGCUGAUAAUCAGAACAAUCACUGCCUAGUGCGGUAGUGCCUUCACUUAGGGCUUUCACAGCUUCACUCCCAAGUCCCAAUUCCCAAAUCGAAGCUGCUCUCCGCCGCACUCUACGUCUCUCCUGUCUCCAUCUCAGUCCUCAUUCGACCGAAUUUCUCACUUCACCAGUUCAUCCCUGCCGUGCUGGUUCAUCGCUGCUGAGUGCCAAAGCCGAAGCACCAAUCACUGCUCAUCUCUGGCUCGCUUAGGUAAGUGCUCAUCUCUGGCAGUAAAAUGACCAAGAUCGACUUGGAAAUUUGUUAUCCUGAAUUGAUAAGGGGACGAAAUCUGAGCUUCCAAUUGCAAACUCUCACUAUUGUAGUAGUUUAGAUUAGAUUUGAUAUAACAUAAGCUUUGUAUUUUAUACACAAGAAAUCUCUCUCCAGUUGUGCAGCCUUUAAAAGUUAAGACCUUGGGGAAAAAUUCCACCUUUUACCCGUUAGAAAAAUUAAAAAGAAAAAAACUUGCUAAAAUUCCACCUUUUACCUCCUUGUCCGUGGAGAUUCUCUUAAUUAAUGGGUCUUGCCAACAUUCUGGAUGAAGUUAUGCACUUGUGCUUCUUUGAAACUAGUCUAUUCUUGCCUUGAAUAUUAUAUCGGCCUACAACAUUUUGCAUAAAGCUGAAUCUAUUUUUUAUGGUGAAGUUAAUACUGAGUCUAUUUUUUUUUACGCAUAAAGCUGAGAUUUUGCAAUUGACAUGAUUUUUUGCAUUAUUCUCCAAAUUAUUGCAGUCAUGUCUACUGGAAGUACUAACAAUCCCAAUCAAGUGGUCAGCUGAAAGUCCUACUCCAGCUCCAGCUCCUAGCUCGGCAGAUUCAGGAGGAAAAGAGCCAAAGAAGCGAGGUCCAUACAAGAAAAGAUCUACAGUUUGGUCACACUUCAAAGAAGUUUUUGAGGGUAAGAUUAGAUAUAUGCCUUUUUUGCGAGAAACGCAUAGCUGCUGAUGGUAGGACUAAUGGUACAACUGGUUUGAGAAAUCAUAUAACCAGAUGCGAGAAACACAUUUGUAAUGUGUGUGUAAUAAUUUGGAUGUUGAUUUCCUUUGAAUUGGUGUUGUAGGCUUGUAGCCUGUAAGUUUGCAAUUAGAAUUAGUUUGCAAUUAGCCUCAUAGCCUGUAAAUUGUACGGAAGCAGCGUUGCAAACUUAAGCUGAUAACAGGUUUUUUUUUUUUAUUUUUUAAAUAGAUGAAUUCGGUUAAACCGAAUUCAUUACCGUUUUCAAAUUUGAAAUCGGUUGCGGAAUGAAUUCGGUUAUGCCCAAUUCGGAAUUGAAAACGGUUUAAAAUUUUACAGGUAGAAUAACUGAAUUCACCGAAUUCAAUGCACCGAAUUACCGAAUAUGCACCGAAUGCACACCCCUAGGUGUUGUUUUUGCUGAAAUCUGAAUCUUGAUGCUCUAAUGAAUUUCAUUGUGAUUAGUUUAUUCUGAAGUUGGUUGUUCUGUUAGUGUAAUUUAUUUAUUUUCAUUUUAAGAAAAGGUGGCUUUCUAACAUUUUUGAUUCGUUAGUUUAUUUUGCUUGUACUUGGGAUUAUGUAGUGAUUCCACUUGAUGUAUGUGAACAUAUGUGAUGAAAUAUGUUUGUGAAUGUUUGUCUUGAGUGAAUUGAAAAGUUUGUGGAUGAUCUGAAGUAGGCAUGAACUCAUACCUAGUUUAUGAUCUUCAAGGGGGUAAUACCCGUCUCUUGUAGUUGUGCUCAUUUUUGAGGUCUUCAUCGUGAUAAAGCUUCAUGAAGUCAUGAGUUAUCAGAGCAUGAUAUGCUAGGAAGUAAAAAUAGUGUGCUGCAUGUGUUUUUUGUUGGUUUGUUUUUAACUUUUUUGUGAACUUUUUGCAGACCAUCUGGAAAUGUUGGGCAAUUUGCCGAUAUUGCCUUUACCUGCACCCCCUUCUGAUGGUAAUCUUGGGCCUUUACCACUAGCUCAGAUAACUGAAGAAGACGAGAAAUAGAAUGGAAGUCAAGAGGAUCUGAGCAAAGCUGACAAAUCCAACUCAGCUCCUAUUUCGGUUGCGACUCAUACGAGAACUAUUGGUAUUAUUUAUCCUCCUCCAGAUAUCAGAAACAUUGUUGACAAGACAUCUCAGUUUGUGGCCAAGAAUGGUCCUGAGUUUGAAAAGAGGAUUAUCGCUAGCAAUGCUGGGAAUCCAAAAUUUAACUUUUUGAAUGCCUCUGAUCCAUACCAUGCAUACUAUCAGCAUCGUUUAUCUGAAGCUCGUGCACAAAAUCAGGUUUCUGCUCUGCAGCCAUUGCAACUGGCAGAUUCAGCUGCUCCUGAGUCUGCAGCUGCUGCCCCGGCUGCUGAUGGCAAGGAUGCGAUUGCAAAGCCUGAUCCGUCGGUGCAGUUUAGGCCUGUUCGUAAAAUUCUUGAACCCCCUGAAGCAGAGCAGUACACUGUUCGUCUCCCUGAAGGGAUUACAGGGGAGGAGUUGGACAUAAUUAAGCUUACUGCCCAGUUUGUCGCAAGGAAUGGGAAAUCAUUUUUGACUGGAUUGACCAGUAGGGAGAUUAACAAUCCUCAAUUUCUUUUUCUAAAACCAACCCAUAGCAUGUUUAUGUUUUUUACAUCUCUUGCGGAUGCUUAUUCGAAAGUAUUGAUGCCUCCAAAAGCAUUAACAGAUAAGUUGAGAAAGAGUGUAACUGACAUGACUACGGUGCUUGAAAGAUGCCUUCAUCGCUUGGAGUGGGAACGGUCGCAGGAGCAGGCUAGGCAGAAAGCUGAAGAUGAGAUAGAACAGGAGCGAUUACAUAUGGCCAUGAUUGAUUGGCAUGACUUUGUUGUAGUAGAGACCAUAGACUUUGCAGAUGAUGAGGAUGAAGAUUUGCCCCCUCCUAUGACCCUGGAGGAGGUUAUACGAAGAAGCAAGAUGACAGGUAUGGAAGAAGAGGAGAUCAUUGAGCCUGGGAAGGAAGUAGAAAUGGAAAUGGAUGAAGAGGAGGUGCAGCUUGUUGAGGAGGGCAUGAGGGCAGCUAGUCUUGAAGAGAACGGGGACCUGAAGAAUAAUGAAGCUAAGGUUACAAUAGAUGAAGCAGAACCACCUAUGAGGAUAGUAAAGAAUUGGAAGAGACCUGAGGAGAGGUUACCUGCUGAAAGAGAUCCAACUAAAUUUGUUGUGUC
Molecule: long non-coding RNA, 43493 nt
Filed under: Coffea arabica (coffee)
Lineage: Eukaryota; Viridiplantae; Streptophyta; Magnoliopsida; Gentianales; Rubiaceae
Description: long non-coding RNA (CARA_LNC002961)
Source: RNAcentral